UCCCGUGUGGCUCAGUUGGUAGAGCAUGGUGUUUGCAACGCCAGGGGUUCGAUUCCCACGGGGG
This 64-nucleotide transfer RNA is filed under the name Salmo salar (Atlantic salmon). It matches the Rfam family "tRNA". From Rfam's summary of the family: Transfer RNA (tRNA) molecules are approximately 80 nucleotides in length. Their secondary structure includes four short double-helical elements and three loops (D, anti-codon, and T loops). Further hydrogen bonds mediate the characteristic L-shaped molecular structure. tRNAs have two regions of fundamental functional importance: the anti-codon, which is responsible for specific mRNA codon recognition, and the 3' end, to which the tRNAs corresponding amino acid is attached (by aminoacyl-tRNA synthetases). tRNAs cope with the degeneracy of the genetic code in two manners: having more than one tRNA (with a specific anti-codon) for a particular amino acid; and 'wobble' base-pairing, i.e. permitting non-standard base-pairing at the 3rd anti-codon position. Lineage: Eukaryota; Metazoa; Chordata; Actinopteri; Salmoniformes; Salmonidae. The record is from Rfam by way of RNAcentral.